AGUGAACGCUGGCGGUAGGCCUAACACAUGCAAGUCGAACGGCAGCACAGUAAGAGCUUGCUCUUACGGGUGGCGAGUGGCGGACGGGUGAGGAAUACAUCGGAAUCUACUUUUUCGUGGGGGAUAACGUAGGGAAACUUACGCUAAUACCGCAUACGACCUACGGGUGAAAGCAGGGGAUCUUCGGACCUUGCGCGAUUGAAUGAGCCGAUGCCGGAUUAGCUAGUUGGCGGGGUAAGGGCCCACCAAGGCGACGAUCCGUAGCUGGCCUGAGAGGAUGACCGGCCAAACGGGACCUGAGACACGGUCCAACCUCCUACGGGAGGCACCGGGGGGGAAUUUUGCACAAGGGGCGAAAGCCUGACCAAGCAAAGCCGCGUGGGUGAUGAAGGCCUUCGGUUGGUAAAACCCUUUUUUUGGGAAAGAAAAAAUGAGGAUAAAACCCCGCAGGUCUUGACGGUACCAAAGAAGAAGGCCCCGGCUAACUCCGUG
Molecule: ribosomal RNA, 492 nt
Filed under: uncultured bacterium
Lineage: Bacteria
Description: partial 16S ribosomal RNA
Rfam family: Bacterial small subunit ribosomal RNA
Source: RNAcentral